CUUCACCGAACCCAGCAGCAGCGGCGUAUCACGGUCGCGGCCGUAGGUCGCCAGCAGCGCCUGUGCCUC
This 69-nucleotide small RNA is filed under the name Streptomyces mutabilis. RNAcentral describes it as "Aspks sRNA". The record is from RNAcentral. Lineage: Bacteria; Bacillati; Actinomycetota; Actinomycetes; Kitasatosporales; Streptomycetaceae.